This 369-nucleotide ribosomal RNA is filed under the name Lupinus angustifolius (narrow-leaved blue lupine). RNAcentral describes it as "rRNA LSU_rRNA_eukarya". It matches the Rfam family "Bacterial large subunit ribosomal RNA", at positions 1691 to 2066 of the family's 2925-position model. Lineage: Eukaryota; Viridiplantae; Streptophyta; Magnoliopsida; Fabales; Fabaceae. The record is from RNAcentral.
UGAGAGAAACAUGUCGAAGGAACUCGGCAAAAUGACCUUGAAACUUCAGGAUAAAGGGUGCUAUCCUAUCUUUUGAUUAGGAAAGCGACACAUACCAGGGGGUAGCAACCGUUUAGUAAAAACACAGGACUCUGCUAAGUGGUAACAUGAUGUAUAGAGUCUAACACCUGCCCGGUAGUGGAAGGUCGGAAGGAGAAGUCUUAUAAAGUUUGAAUGGAAGCCCUAGUAAACGGCAGCGGUAACUCUAACUAUCCUAAGCUAUGGAAAUUCCUUGUCGCAUAAGUAGUGACCUGCACGAAUGGUGUAAUGACUACCCCACUGUCUCCGACAUGGACCUAGUGAAAUUGAAUUCUCCGUGAAGAUGCGGAG